UGGCCCCAUCGUCUAGCCCGGUCUAGGACAUCAGGUUUUCAUCCUGGUAACAGGGGUUCGAAUCCCCUUGGGGUCAAC
RNAcentral lists this transfer RNA (78 nucleotides) under Candidatus Rhabdochlamydia sp. T3358. RNAcentral describes it as "tRNA-Glu". It matches the Rfam family "tRNA". From Rfam's summary of the family: Transfer RNA (tRNA) molecules are approximately 80 nucleotides in length. Their secondary structure includes four short double-helical elements and three loops (D, anti-codon, and T loops). Lineage: Bacteria; Pseudomonadati; Chlamydiota; Chlamydiia; Parachlamydiales; Candidatus Rhabdochlamydiaceae. The record is from RNAcentral.